This 951-nucleotide ribosomal RNA is filed under the name Triticum aestivum (bread wheat). RNAcentral describes it as "partial small subunit ribosomal RNA". Lineage: Eukaryota; Viridiplantae; Streptophyta; Magnoliopsida; Poales; Poaceae. The record is from RNAcentral.
AUGAAGCAUGUGAAACGUGAAGAGGAAGAGGUUCAGUUUGAGAGGAGAGCUACAAGGUCAUCUACAGUUAAACAAAGAGAGGCUUCUGGAAGCUCAUGCAAAAGUAGUGCAAACGCGGCUAGCAUGGAAAGCAAGGGGAAAAAGGAAGAUGCUGUUCAUCACUAUACAAGGAAAGUGAGCAAUACUGCAUCCUUAAAAGCUGACCACACUGAACCUGCUAAACGUGGAACCAACACAAAGGAGAACACACCAAAUGGAAAGAUUACUCCUGCAAAUAUCACAGAAAACAAGGCAUCAGCAACAGAGAUAAAGAUCAAUUCAAAGGCACAGCCGUCUAUGAGAAGUGGCAGCUUCGCCAAGGCAACAACAAAAGAUGCAGUUUCUCUGGUGGGUCAGAAUGUCUGUAGUUCAGCUAUCACUGAAAAGAUUGAUACUGUGUUAACAGAUUCAGAAGGAGUUAGAUCUGAAAACAAGACUGCCGUGCCGAAGUCACCCUUAUCAGUUGGUGCUAAGAUUGUUGCCAGCAAGAAGAGGAUGUUGGAAUCAGGUCUUGAUAAAAUUGCUGGAGGGUCACCAGUUGAGACAACAUCCAUGAAAAAGACGAGAAGUACUAAUCAAACCGAGUUAGAUCAAUCAAAAAAGUCCUCUCGGAAGAUGCUUACAGAGAAGAACUCCGGUUCAGACAAAAAUGAUAUUUUGACAAAACGGCAGCAUCACAGUCGAGCAGCUGAGUUGAGCAGAUCUGUUAACCCCUCUAAUAAAGAUGCCUGCAAGCUUUCACAUAAUGGAUCUGAUGUUGACGGAACUGACAUCAAUAUUACCCACAAGAGAAAUUGUAGAGGGUGCAGAGAACGUGGCGUUCCUCCUGUCCUGAUAAAACAAGAGUACUCUAGUGAAUCUGUGGAAGUUAUUGUUGUGAGAAAAGACCAGCGAAAAAGGAAACAUCCAUAA